UACACGUACAGUCUUCCUUCCAUUUUCUUUUGUUCAACACAGAUGGCCCCCCUUUUUUUUUUAAAACUAUCAUUCACAAAUGAAAUAAAAUAAUUGAAACUUAUCCCCUUUUACUAACUAUUAUGCCUACACGUACCUACCACCUGUUCCAUUAAAAAAAGGCAUGCUUUAGAUUAAAAAUAAUGUUAAAAGGAGAGUACGUAUUUUUUCUUAAGAAAGAAACAAGAGAAGAGAGCACAAAUCUCCUUCCAAAACUCGUCGCCUCUCUCUUCCGCAAGUUCUCAACCAAGAACAUCCCAGAUUUUAUUUUUUUUUUUUUAAUUUGCAACACUGGAUCUGAAGAUUACAGAAGCACCCACCAAUUAACUCUCUAUCUCUCCCUCGACUUCUCUUACAAGGAGACAAAACAAGAUCCCCAAAUUUGUCAAGCAGGAUCGCGUCGUGGUUCGCCCGCUUCGUCACCGCUCAGGUGUGGUCCAUAUCGAGCAGUUGUUGGUCGGUUCCAAUUCGCCACUCCGCGUACACCACCGUCGUCGCUCGGCGUCACUGUUCCGGCAGCCCCGAUUCCUCCCGAUUAGCCCCGUAAGAUAAGUUCUCAAAUUUUAAUUAAGUUGAUUGUUUUAAUUCGGUUCUCGAGUUUCGAUUGACGCAAUAAGCGAUAUGCUCGAUGUUUGGAGAAUUAAUAGAGAGGGUGAGGUUUAUACCUUCGCUGAACAAAUCGGCUUUGGCAGGAGAUCGAAGCUUCAGGUUUCCCCCUUUCCGGAUUUGGUUCCAAAUUUCUGUCAAGAAAAGGUUCUGGUGUGAAAUCACCCUACGAAGAAAACAAGGGGAGACCGUGAAAAGAAGGACUACCGUGUUGAAAUUAGGAUUUGGUUGGGAAAGGAUGAGCUCCUUCUUCCUACUGCUACCUCUGCUGCCUGAGGAAAUCUUGAGGUGCAAAGUGAGAAUGAGUGACUGCGAAUUUGUGUGAGGAAAAGGGUUUAGGGUAUGGGUAUUAAUAUACCGUGUAUCGAGAAUCAUUUCUGGUGAUUGAUUUCACUUUGAUUGUGGUCACAAAUUAGGAAAGAUUUUGCAGAGGGGAAGCGAUUAUGGAGCGUGGGAGGGGAACGUAGAAUAGGUAAUUGAUUCUCAAAAUAAAAGCAAUUAAAGGUGAUUGGGGUUUAUUUUUGGUGCGGAUUGAGGAUUGGUAAAAACGCAAAUGUGCUGAAGAAAGGAGGAUUCAACGUGAAGGGGGAGGAGAAGGGUUCUGAUGUCGGAUCGAAGAAUUUAGAGUAUUGGGCUCAAGGCCCUUUUAAAAUUUUAUUUAAAUAGUGUAGCCCACAAUUCAUUCUUUAUUAGAUUGGGCUUGUAUCAAUUAUUUAAUUCUAUCAUAUGUGUUGGAAUUUAGUCUAAUAAAUAAUCCUCAAGGAAAGGAUUUAAUUAA
Long non-coding RNA from Salvia splendens (bonfire salvia), 1423 nucleotides. RefSeq lists it as uncharacterized. Lineage: Eukaryota; Viridiplantae; Streptophyta; Magnoliopsida; Lamiales; Lamiaceae. The record is from RefSeq and is a predicted model, not a curated record. The transcript has 2 exons.